AAAGAAUUAGUUAAAUUAAAUAACAUUAAUUUGUCAAGUUAAAAUUGCUUAAAUAGUAUUCUUUU
Molecule: transfer RNA, 65 nt
Filed under: Stenopsocus aphidiformis
Lineage: Eukaryota; Metazoa; Arthropoda; Insecta; Psocodea; Stenopsocidae
Also listed under: 3 other names
Description: tRNA-Asp
Source: RNAcentral